AUCCAGCUGACGAGUCCUAAAUGGGACGAAACGCGCGUCCUGGAU
Molecule: non-coding RNA, 45 nt
Organism: Schistosoma rodhaini
Lineage: Eukaryota; Metazoa; Platyhelminthes; Trematoda; Strigeidida; Schistosomatidae
Source: Rfam